This 265-nucleotide signal recognition particle RNA is filed under the name Callithrix jacchus (white-tufted-ear marmoset). Its description in RNAcentral is "Metazoan signal recognition particle RNA (ENSCJAG00000071871.1)". It matches the Rfam family "Metazoan signal recognition particle RNA". Rfam says of the family: The signal recognition particle (SRP) is a universally conserved ribonucleoprotein. Lineage: Eukaryota; Metazoa; Chordata; Mammalia; Primates; Cebidae. The record is from RNAcentral.
GCUGGGCAUGGUGGCGCGUGCCUGUAAUCCAAGCUACUCAGGAGGCUGAGGCAGGAGAAUUGCCUGAACCCAGGAGGCAGAGGUUGCGGUGAGCUGAGAUCACGCCAUUGCACUCCAGCCUGGGUAACGAGCGAAACUCCGUCUCAAAAAAAAAAAAAACUUUAAGAGACAGGAUCUCACUGUUGCCCAGGCUGGAGUGCAGCGAGUAGCAUGAUCAUGGCUCACUGCAGCCUCAACCUCCUGGGCUCAUGUGAUCCUCCCACCU